UAACACUAUUCAUAUGAACAGUUUCAUCUCAAACACUGUUCAUAUGAACAGUGUUUUCACGGAACACUGUUUAUAUGAACAGUGAUUUCAGCCAUGAAUAGAAAUUUUGGGAAUAAAUAGUAAUUUCAGCUUUUGUUCAUGGGAUUGGAGGUUAAAAAGUUCUUUUUCUUUGUGAUGAAGUGAGAGUGGAAAUCUCUAUUCCGGAAGAGUGCGGGUGCUAAUCCAAAAAGGAGGGAACGUGAGG
This 244-nucleotide long non-coding RNA is filed under the name Phoenix dactylifera (date palm). RNAcentral's name for it is "long non-coding RNA (PDAC_LNC004069)". The record is from RNAcentral. Lineage: Eukaryota; Viridiplantae; Streptophyta; Magnoliopsida; Arecales; Arecaceae.